UACCAGACUCCUACGGGAGGCAGCAGUGGGGAAUAUUGCACAAUGGGGGAAACCCUGAUGCAGCGACGCCGCGUGGGUGAAGAAGCGCCUCGGCGCGUAAAGCCCUGUCAGCAGGGAAGAAAAUGACGGUACCUGAAGAAGAAGCCCCGGCUAACUACGUGCCAGCAGCCGCGGUAAUACGUAGGGGGCAAGCGUUAUCCGGAUUUACUGGGUGUAAAGGGGGCGCAGACGGCGAGGCAAGCCAGGAGUGAAAGCCCGGGGCCCAACCCCGGGACUGCUCUGGGAAGUGCGUGGGUGGAGUGCAGGAGGGGGAGGCGGAAUUCCGGGUGUAGCGGUGAAAUGCGUAGAUAUCAGGAGGAACACCGGUGGCGAAGGCGGCCUGCUGGACCGUGACUGACGUUGGGGCUCGAGAGCGUGGGGAGCAAACAGGAUUAGAUACCCCGGUA
RNAcentral lists this ribosomal RNA (446 nucleotides) under uncultured bacterium. RNAcentral describes it as "bacterial SSU rRNA". It matches the Rfam family "Bacterial small subunit ribosomal RNA", at positions 329 to 792 of the family's 1533-position model. The record is from RNAcentral.